This is a long non-coding RNA of Oncorhynchus tshawytscha (Chinook salmon), 1042 nucleotides long. The record is from Ensembl. Lineage: Eukaryota; Metazoa; Chordata; Actinopteri; Salmoniformes; Salmonidae.
GUCUACUCAGACUGGUCUGUGCUCUUGGCUAUAACAGGCGAUGAAAUUAUACAAUGUAUCAAAAUUGCUCGCUUUGCGCACUGCUCCAUUGUAACAAAUGUACACAUCUAACAACAGAAGGCCCAUCAGGGUCUGAGUCUGCAUCCCCGCUGACUGAGAAGCAGGUGAGUGAGGGCUGGUAGGGAAGUCUGAGAGAAGCAGCUGAGUGAGGGCUGGUAGGGAAGGCUGAGAGAAGCAGCUGAAUGAGGGCUGGUAGGGAAGUCUGAGAGAAGCAGCUGAGUGAGGGCUGGUAGGGAAGGCUGAGAGAAGCAGCUGAAUGAGUGCUGGUAGGGAAGGCUGAGAGAAGCAGCUGAAUGAGUGCUGGUAGGGAAGUCUGAGAGAAGCAGCUGAGUGAGGGCUGGUAGGGGAUUGUCACGACUUCUGCCGAAGGUGGUCCCUCUCCUUGUUCGGGCGGCGGUCGUCGUCACCGGUUUUCUAGUUGCCAGCGAUCCACGUUUUCUUUUUCCAUUUGUUUUGUCUUCGUUGUACACACCUGAUUUCCAUUUGUUUUGUCUUCGUUGUACACACCUGAUUUCCAUUUGUUUUGUCUUCGUUGUACACACCUGAUUUCCAUUUCUUAGUUAUUUGUCCCUAUUUAACCCUCUGGUUUCCCCAUUGGUUUUGUGCGUGUUUGUUGCGUGUUAAGCUGUCGCGUUUGUUUGUGAGUUUAGUUGAGUUUGUUUCCCUACGUGGAAUAUUUUGUUGUUUUGUUGAGUAAAGACCUUUAUUACUCAUUCCCGGUGUCCUGCGCCUGACUUCGUCCCACCUGCUGCACAUUGACUCUUGACAGGGAUGCUGAGAGAAGCAGGUGAGUGAGGGCUGGUAGGGAAUACUGAGAGAAGCAGGUGAGUGAGGGCUGGUUGGGAAUACUGAGAGAAGCAGGUUAGUGAGGGCUGGUAGGGAAUACUGAGAGAAGCAGGUGAGUGAGGGCUGGUAGGGAAUACUGAGAGAAGCAGGUGAGUGAGGGCUGGUAAGGGAUAUAGCUGGCUGAUUACAGCUGCCA